GCUUGUCUCAAAGAUUAAGCCAUGCAUGUCUAAGUAUAAGCAAUUAUACAGCGAAACUGCGAACGGCUCAUUAUAUAAGUUAUCGUUUAUUUGAUAGUACCCUACUACUUGGAUAACCGUGGUAAUUCUAGAGCUAAUACAUGCUAAAAAUCCCGACUUCGGAAGGGAUGUAUUUAUUAGAUUAAAAACCAAUGCCCUCCGGGGCUUACUGGUGAUUCAUGAUAACUUCUCGAAUCGCAUGGCCUUGUGCCGGCGAUGGUUCAUUCAAAUUUCUUCCCUAUCAACUUUCGAUGUUUGGGUAUUGGCCAAACAUGGUUGCAACGGGUAACGGAGGGUUAGGGCUCGACCCCGGAGAAGGAGCCUGAGAAACGGCUACUACAUCCAAGGAAGGCAGCAGGCGCGCAAAUUACCCAAUCCCGACACGGGGAGGUAGUGACAAUAAAUACUGAUACAAGGCUCUUUUGGGUCUUGUAAUUGGAAUGAGUACAAUUUAAAUCCCUUAACGAGGAACAAUUGGAGGGCAAGUCUGGUGCCAGCAGCCGCGGUAAUUCCAGCUCCAAUAGCGUAUAUUAAAGUUGUUGUGGUUAAAAAGCUCGUAGUUGAACCUUGGGCCUGGCUGGCCGGUCCGCCUCACCGCGUGUACUGGUCCGGCCGGGCCUUUCCCUCUGUGGAACCUCAUGCCCUUCACUGGGUGUGGCGGGGAAACAGGACUUUUACUGUGAAAAAAUUAGAGUGCUCCAGGCAGGCCUAUGCUCGAAUACAUUAGCAUGGAAUAAUAGAAUAGGACGUGUGGUUCUAUUUUGUUGGUUUCUAGGACCGCCGUAAUGAUUAAUAGGGACAGUCGGGGGCAUCAGUAUUCAAUUGUCAGAGGUGAAAUUCUUGGAUUUAUUGAAGACUAACUACUGCGAAAGCAUUUGCCAAGGAUGUUUUCAUUAAUCAGGAACGAAAGUUAGGGGAUCGAAGACGAUCAGAUACCGUCGUAGUCUUAACCAUAAACUAUGCCGACUAGGGAUCGGACGGUGUUAUAUUUUGACCCGUUC
Molecule: ribosomal RNA, 1040 nt
Filed under: Fusarium solani
Lineage: Eukaryota; Fungi; Ascomycota; Sordariomycetes; Hypocreales; Nectriaceae
Description: SSU rRNA
Rfam family: Eukaryotic small subunit ribosomal RNA
Source: RNAcentral